Molecule: long non-coding RNA, 869 nt
Filed under: Panax ginseng (ginseng)
Lineage: Eukaryota; Viridiplantae; Streptophyta; Magnoliopsida; Apiales; Araliaceae
Description: long non-coding RNA (PGIN_LNC011372)
Source: RNAcentral
UUACAUGGAGAUUCUAUGGUAGCCUUUCUUUUUAUUUCAAUCAAUAUGUACAAGCGCAAAUGCAGUUACAAGAUUAUAGAAAGAAAACAAUGAAGAGAGAAGAAAAGAUUCUAAGGAAGUAUGCUUACAACUGAAUGCAAGGCCACAAUAUAUUAUAGGCUAUCAGCAACUAUACAAUCCUAAAUUAUUGAAGAGAGACGUAAGCCAUGAUAUCAGACUUCAAUAAUAGAGGAGACAAAGCUUUAAGCUUUACAAUCAUAGUGCAUCCUAGUGCAUUUGUACAAACCCAUCAAUAGGCAGAUUGUCUCGCAUUGAAUUACAAUAAAGAACAUUGGAUUAAACUGAACAGCUAAGCACAAUUAGACUUGUAACAUGGAAGAUACUCAGAACUGGGAAUCAUAUUGGGUUGUUUUGACAUUCCCUGAUUGUGUUGAUUUCUUUUUAGAGUCGCGUAGUUGAGUUCAUAUGGUUCCGUUGUUACUACUUGAUGAAUCAAGAGCAGUUUAGCAAUAUCUGUGAUGCUGAAUGCUGACAAACUAAGUCUUACUUGGAGAUUCUAUGGUAGCCUUUCUUUUUAUUUCAAUCAAUAUGUGCAAGCGCAAGUGCAGCAACAAGAUUAUAGAAAGAAAACAAUGAAGAGAGAAAAGAAAAGAUUCUAAGGGAGCCUGCUUACAACUGAACGCAAGGCCACAAUAUAUAAUAGGCUAUCAGCAACUAUACAAUCCUAAAUUAUUGAAGUGAGACGUAAGCCAUGAUAACUUUUAGUCUUUGUCAGAAGGAGUGCCUGUGACUUUAUUCUUACCUUUUGCUUUUUGCUUUUUAGCUUUAUCUUUAUCUUUAAGACAGAUCGACAUGUGCAUGUAUUUCGG